Apis dorsata (giant honeybee) is the source of this 1426-nucleotide long non-coding RNA. RefSeq lists it as uncharacterized. The record is from RefSeq and is a predicted model, not a curated record. Lineage: Eukaryota; Metazoa; Arthropoda; Insecta; Hymenoptera; Apidae. The transcript is spliced from 3 exons.
ACGCGGAUUCGCAGCAAGCUUUCGAUAGCAACGCGACUAAUUCGUGACUGAUCGGUAUCGUUUGUUAACGCGAUUGUCGGGAGAUAAAUCGAAUCGAUGCGAGGAGAGGAAGCGAGGGGGAAAAAAGAAAUUCUCUCGCGUCUCUCGUCAAAAGGAAUUCUUCUUCUUCUUCUUCUUCUUCUUCUUCUCCUUCUUCUUCUUCCUCUUCUUGUUGUUCUCUCCUUUCUCGGGGCAAAGGACAUUCCUCCGUUCCGAUUGUACGCGAGAGAAGAGAGGAAGUGAGGAGAGGGAAGGAGGGAGGAGAGGAGAGGGAAGAGGGAGAAAAAAAGAGAGACAACGGGUGUGUUGUCAUCGGGUAGUCGCGAUCAGCAGGAGUAUAUAGCAUCAGGAUCGUGGAAGAGGGUGCAGCAGGAGAGAGAGAUUUUUCCCCACCGCUUGGAAAAACCAACCCCCACCACUCCCGCUUAGUACGGGCAGGCGGCGGUGGCGGCGGCGUGGAAGAGAGGCACGGAGGGGUAGGUUAGCCAGGGUGGUCUCGGUGGUGGCUGGGGGCGGCAGCCUCAAAAAUACACCGCAACCACACCGCGCGGCUCCACCGCAGAAGCCGCCAUCUUCCACCGCCGAACCGAAACGAGACCGCGCGAGUUAAACACCCUAUCCUACUUCCCCGUAGUGGAAGUUGCCGCUGCCACCCGCCCAAGUAUCAGCCACGAAGAAGUGUCUCUCGCCUUCUCGCCCCGUGCUCGAUCGCUGACAACCAAAAGGAAACCCCGAUAAUUUCGAAUUUCGCUCUUAGUCCGCGCGCCACUCCGUCCAUCCGACUCGUCGUCGUCGUCGUCAUCGUCGUCGUCGUCGUCGUCGCAAGAAAAGAAGUUUCGCUUCGACCUCGCUCCGUCUCGAGCCGAAAGGGGAUCGAGAAAGAUCGUCUUCUUUUUUUUUUUUUUUUUUAUUGGAGAUCGUCGGUGAAUAAAUCGGGAAGAGAUUUAGAGAGAAGAGAUCGAGAGCAACGGAACCUUGGGAUUUUUCGAUUUUUCGAUUCGAUAAUCUUUUUUGUGACGAUUGGAAGAGAAAGAGAAGCAAGUGCGCGGUGGACAUGGACGUAUCAUUGGCAAACAAAAACGGGUGACGAACGGUUCAAUCUUUAAAUUAAACGACGAGGAUAAAAGUGGAUCGAUGGUGGUGAACUAUACGCGGAGAGAGAAAGGAAGAGAGAGGAAGAGAGAGAGUUUGGAUACUUGGGAAGAAUAAUGUGCGUAUGUGAGAUUUGUGUUGCGGCUUGUGGGGCUGGCUUGGAGGAUCCCGAGUACAGAGUUAACACCUGUUAGAUGGUCGGGCAGAAGUGCUGAUGUGCGACAGGAACGUGGAGUAAUUUCGAUCGACCGCGGGACAUUGGAGGGAGGGAGAGGGAGAGAGAGAGAGAGAGAGA